UACAGAGGGUGCAAGCGUUAAUCGGAUUUACUGGGCGUAAAGCGUAUGUAGGUGGUUUGCUAAGUCAGGUGUGAAAUCCCUGGGCUCAACCUAGGAAUUGCAUUUGAUACUGGAUGGCUUGAAUCCGGGAGAGGGAUGCGGAAUUCCAGGUGUAGCGGUGAAAUGCGUAGAUAUCUGGAGGAACACCGGUGGCGAAGGCGGCAUCCUGGACCGGUAUUGACACUGAAAAGCGAAAGCCAGGGGAGCAAACGGG
Molecule: ribosomal RNA, 253 nt
Filed under: uncultured bacterium
Lineage: Bacteria
Description: partial 16S ribosomal RNA
Rfam family: Bacterial small subunit ribosomal RNA
Source: RNAcentral